This 96-nucleotide non-coding RNA is filed under the name human gut metagenome. RNAcentral describes it as "SAM riboswitch (S box leader)". It matches the Rfam family "SAM riboswitch aptamer (S box leader)". From Rfam's summary of the family: The SAM riboswitch is found upstream of a number of genes which code for proteins involved in methionine or cysteine biosynthesis in Gram-positive bacteria. The SAM riboswitch acts at the level of transcription termination control. The record is from RNAcentral.
UUUAUCAAGAGCGGCGGAGGGAACUGGCCCAGUGAAGCCCGGCAACAGCCUUUGUGGUGAUGUGCUAAAUCCAGCAGACAAUGUCUGGCAGAUAAG